GCUGCCGUUGGGGCUUAGCGCUUUACUUAGGCAGCGCGUUCGGCUGUUAACCGGAAGCUUGGUGGUUCGAGCCCACCCGGGAGCG
Non-coding RNA from Caenorhabditis brenneri, 85 nucleotides. Lineage: Eukaryota; Metazoa; Nematoda; Chromadorea; Rhabditida; Rhabditidae. The record is from the annotation of a GenBank genome assembly.